This 253-nucleotide ribosomal RNA is filed under the name uncultured bacterium. Its description in RNAcentral is "partial 16S ribosomal RNA". It matches the Rfam family "Bacterial small subunit ribosomal RNA", at positions 524 to 776 of the family's 1533-position model. The record is from RNAcentral.
UACGUAGGGUGCGAGCGUUGUCCGGAAUUACUGGGCGUAAAGAGCUUGUAGGUGGUUUGUCGCGUUGUUCGUGAAAUCUCACGGCUUAACUGUGAGCGUGCGGGCGAUACGGGCAGACUAGAGUACUGCAGGGGAGACUGGAAUUCCUGGUGUAGCGGUGGAAUGCGCAGAUAUCAGGAGGAACACCGGUGGCGAAGGCGGGUCUCUGGGCCACUACUGACGCUGAGGAGCGAAAGCGUGGGGAGCGAACAGG